RNAcentral lists this non-coding RNA (709 nucleotides) under Pan troglodytes (chimpanzee). The record is from RNAcentral. Lineage: Eukaryota; Metazoa; Chordata; Mammalia; Primates; Hominidae.
ACGAGGGGAAGAAGAAGAUACUUACGCGGUGCAGGGAGCAGUGGGACCGAGCCUCUCUCUCUCUCUCUCUCUCUCUCUCUCUAUCUCUCUCUCUCUUUUUUUUCCCCCCGGCAGAGAGAGGAAAACACGCGCGCGCACACACGGUGAUAUCUUGCGGGUGAUGAAUAUGAUAAUUGGACAAGGGACGCUAUUCACAGAUCAUCAUCAGCCAGAGGUGACUUCUGUUGCUUGCAGCUCAGAAUCCUAGAUGUUUCUGGUGGCACUGAAGAGCCUCUGCUGAAGCUCUAUACCAUUUGCCAUUUACAAAGGGAAAUGAAAUAAUAACGCUGACCAUUUGUGGAGCACAUUCUGUCUGGAGGCAAAGGAUGCCAAGAUGGGAAAGCCACAUAAUGGAAGGAUCCUGGAUUUCAGAGCUGUCACUUGGAGGAGGGGCACCCAGUGAAGGUGUCUUAUCUAACCCACACCAUAUCUUCAUGAAGUGGCCAUAUGGAUUUGAUCCCUAUCCUUCAGAGGUGCUCAGCCUAAGGGAACACGGAUAGUAGAUUAAGCACUGACCAGGGGUAUAAAUCCUGCCUUCUCUCAGCCUUACAGAGGAAGAAAACCCUUUCCAAGUUUCCUGUGAUAUUGGGUUUAUGCCCAAUUCUAGUUUAGCCUUUCUCUUUACUCAUUGGACUCAGAGCCAGCCUUGACAAUGUGCUGUUGGCAACCU